UUGCUUUCUUUGCUGGCGACCGGCGCACGGGUGAGUAACACGUAUCCAACCUGCCCUUUACUCGGGGAUAGCCUUUCGAAAGAAAGAUUAAUACCCGAUAGCAUAAUGAUUCCGCAUGGUUUCAUUAUUAAAGGAUUCCGGUAAAGGAUGGGGAUGCGUUCCAUUAGGUUGUUGGUGAGGUAACGGCCCACCAAGCCUUCGAUGGAUAGGGGUUCCGAGAGGAAGGUCCCCCACAUUGGAACUGAGACACGGUCCAA
This 257-nucleotide ribosomal RNA is filed under the name uncultured bacterium. Its description in RNAcentral is "partial 16S ribosomal RNA". It matches the Rfam family "Bacterial small subunit ribosomal RNA", at positions 76 to 334 of the family's 1533-position model. The record is from RNAcentral.